UCAGAUAAUAAAAUUUCAUACUUCCCACCAGGUAAAGAUUUUAACCAUCUUUUCCCCCUUCCCAUGCAAAAAGAACUUAAGCACGGUGACAAAGGAUUUUCUUUCAAAAAUAUAAUACUAAAAAGACAUUCAUAAGUUUUAGUUGGACAAAGCUUCAUAACACCUCGAGAGACUUCUUAUGCACCAAUCCUUUUUUUUUUUUUUU
This 205-nucleotide long non-coding RNA is filed under the name Elaeis guineensis (African oil palm). RNAcentral describes it as "long non-coding RNA (EGUI_LNC051579)". Lineage: Eukaryota; Viridiplantae; Streptophyta; Magnoliopsida; Arecales; Arecaceae. The record is from RNAcentral.